RNAcentral lists this ribosomal RNA (253 nucleotides) under uncultured bacterium. RNAcentral describes it as "partial 16S ribosomal RNA". It matches the Rfam family "Bacterial small subunit ribosomal RNA", at positions 524 to 776 of the family's 1533-position model. The record is from RNAcentral.
UACGGGGGGGGCAAGCGUUACUCGGAAUUAUUGGGCGUAAAGGGCGCGUAGGCGGUCGUGUGCGUCGGAGGUGAAAUCCCCAGGCUUAACCUGGGAACUGCCUCCGAUACGGCAUGGCUUGAGUCCGGGAGAGGGGAGCAGAAUUCCCAGUGUAGCGGUGAAAUGCGUAGAUAUUGGGAGGAAGACCAGUGGCGAAGGCGGCUCCCUGGACCGGUACUGACGCUGAGGCGCGAAAGCGUGGGUAGCAAACAGG